RNAcentral lists this ribosomal RNA (520 nucleotides) under uncultured bacterium. Its description in RNAcentral is "partial 16S ribosomal RNA". It matches the Rfam family "Bacterial small subunit ribosomal RNA", at positions 28 to 523 of the family's 1533-position model. The record is from RNAcentral.
GACGAACGCUGGCGGCGUGCUUAACACAUGCAAGUCGAACGGAGAAUUUUACUUCGGUGAAAUUCUUAGUGGCGAACGGGUGAGUAACGCGUAGACAACCUGCCUCUUAGAUGGGGACAACAUCGCGAAAGCGGUGCUAAUACCGAAUGAAGUGGAGCUUCCGCAUGGAAGCAUCACCAAAGGUGGCCUCUAUUUAUAAGCUACCACUGAGAGAUGGGUCUGCGUCUGAUUAGCUAGUUGGCGGGGUAAUGGCCCACCAAGGCGACGAUCAGUAGCCGGUAUGAGAGGAUGAACGGCGACAGUGGGACUGGAACACGGCCCAAACUCCUACGGGAGGAAGCAGUGGGGAAUCUUCCGCAAUGGACGUAAGUCUGACGGAGCAACGCCGCGUGAGUGAAGAGGGUUUUCGGAUCGUAAAGUUCUGUUUUUUGAGUCGAAUGUGCAGUCUUUGAAUAAGGGUUUGUAAUGACGGUAUUAAACGAGAAAGCCACGGCUAACUACGUGCCAGCCGCCGCCGUAA